GCGCUCACUCCAGUAGCUUAUAUACUAAAAUGGACCAAUGCAGAGAAGGUGAGCGUGGCCCCUGUGCAAGGAUGACACGCACAUUCAUGAAGCGUUCCAUGUUUCC
This is a small nuclear RNA of Peromyscus californicus insignis, 106 nucleotides long. The record is from RefSeq and is a predicted model, not a curated record. Lineage: Eukaryota; Metazoa; Chordata; Mammalia; Rodentia; Cricetidae.